This 465-nucleotide ribosomal RNA is filed under the name uncultured bacterium. Its description in RNAcentral is "partial 16S ribosomal RNA". It matches the Rfam family "Bacterial small subunit ribosomal RNA", at positions 28 to 507 of the family's 1533-position model. The record is from RNAcentral.
GACGAACGCUGGCGGCGUGCUUAACACAUGCAAGUCGAACGGAAAGGCCCCUUUGUUGGUACUCUGAUGUCAAACGGGGAAGUAACACUUGAGUAACCUUCCCUUAACUUCGGGAUAACGUCAGGAAACUGGAGCUAAUACCGGAUAGGAAUCAUUUCUGCAUGGGGUGGGUUGAAAAGCUUCAGCGGUUUUGGAUGGAAUCGCUGCGUAUCAGCUUGUUGGUGGGGUAGUGUCUUACCAAAGCUUCGACGGGUAGCCGGCAUGAGAGGGCGACCUGCCACACUAGGAGUGAGCUACGGCCAGGAGUCGUACGGGAGGCAGAAGUGGGGAAUACCGCACGAUGGGAGGACGCGUGAUGGAGCAAGGCCGCGGGCGGGAUGAACGCUUUCGGGUUGUAAAACGAUUUGAGCAGGGGAGAAGCUUGUGCUGAAGGUAACUUAAGCAGAAGCCCCCGGUAACCUAGUG